RNAcentral lists this ribosomal RNA (216 nucleotides) under Glomeromycotina sp. RNAcentral's name for it is "partial small subunit ribosomal RNA". The stretch from base 40 to 216 matches the Rfam family "Eukaryotic small subunit ribosomal RNA", at positions 686 to 864 of the family's 1831-position model. The record is from RNAcentral. Lineage: Eukaryota; Fungi; Glomeromycota.
GGGUCAGUAGGUUGGUCGUGCCACCGGUACGUACUGGUCUCACUGAUUCCUCCUUCCUGAAGAACCGUAAUGCCAUUAAUUUGGUGUUGCGGGGAAACAGGACUGUUACUUUGAAAAAAUUAGAGUGUUUAAAGCAAGCUAACGCUUGAAUACAUUAGCAUGGAAUAAUGAAACAGGACGAUCGAUCCUAUUUUGUUGGUUUCUAGGAUUGACGUA